Molecule: long non-coding RNA, 3053 nt
Filed under: Nicotiana tabacum (common tobacco)
Lineage: Eukaryota; Viridiplantae; Streptophyta; Magnoliopsida; Solanales; Solanaceae
Description: long non-coding RNA (NTAB_LNC008681)
Source: RNAcentral
GUAUAAGAAAACUUAAACUAGCACUAUGUGAGACAAUAACAUUCCCUACUAGAUACAUGCAAGACAUGGUUGCGACUAUUUUUUCUAAAAUUAACCUAUGUGGCUAAAAGUGGCUAAAAAUACAAGAUUUGGCUAAGACCCGCGGAGCCAAGAACCUAAACUCACUAGGAAGACCGGACCCUAUGUGGGUUGCCUACGUAUCACGCUCCGAAAGACGAGAAUCAGGUAUGCGUAGUUAGGGCAGAUUUGACGAAAAUAAAAACCAACUAUUUUUUGAAAGCAAGAACAACAGAAAAUUUUUGUCGAAAUUUUGGCAGAGUUUCGGUAUAUUUUUUGGACACUGAUUUUUCAAAAACAGACAAUUAUCUCUCUCAGCCCUCACAUUGACUUUUCCUUUCCAACUAUCUUCUAAUUAUUCAUAAGUCGGUCAGCAUGCAAACCGGAACAAAUAAAUGCACAAGUAGCAAGUAGAUGCAUCAGGAUGGUCUUUUUAUUUUGGGUACACCUGUCCUAGACAGACCAACCCCUGUGUUGGGUCUCCAAAAGUCAAAUGCAUGUGAUGCAAACAAACGUUCCUACAAGGGAUCCGGCAUGAGGCUUUGUUAUACUAGGUUUAAAACCUGGGUUUAUUGUUCUAGACCUGGCUUACCCGAGCGGACAACUCGAGCCGAGGGGGGGGGCAGCGUACCGGGAAUACAAAAGCUUCACCGGCCUUGCAACUUGUCCGAACCUCGUUCUAAAAUGUGAUAAGACUCUAGACAGAAGAGAAGUCACACGAAGUACACCAUUCUCCAUGAUUUAGAAGACUCAGAAAGAAGAAGGGUUUCGUAGCAAUUUAUAUACAGUUCACAGAAUAUCAAAGCGGUAAAAGCAACACUUAGCACAUUAGUCCCAAACAUGUAACAAAAUCAGAUAAUAAAUAAAGCCAACUAUAACAAUUCAUCUAAGCUCGAAUUCUGAAACCUGAACCAGAGAUUCUGGGUUCUUGUUCCCCAGCAGAGUCGCCAGAGCUGUCACACCUCCUUUUUCCUGCCCCGGGAAAGGAGUAUAAGGAGUUUUUUCAAUUAAAGUGAGAAUCGAAACGGGAUUAUUUAUUUAAGAUUCAGAGUCGCCACUUGGGAUAAUUUAUGGUGUCCCAAGUCACCGGUUCAAAUUCCGAAUCGAGGAAGUUUGACUCUGUUUUACAGUCCGCGAACAUAGAAAUCCGGGUAAGGAAUUAUGUUAACCCAAGAGAAGGUGUUAGGCAUUCCCGAGUUCUGUGGUUCUAGCACGGUCUCUCAACUAUUACUAUUGGCCUAUUAUCUGAUUUUUAAUACAUUUUAAACCUAUGUUCAUUUUUAACUUUCAAACCUCUUUUAUUUAAUUUUAGGAAUUUUCAGUGUUGUCUAAAACACAUCUUGAACAACGCCACAUGAAAUCCAUCUGAGGUCCAUCACACAUUUUAUUUAACGUUGUUGAGAAUUUGAUUUGGGUCACAUGAAAUGCACACCCGAGUUUAAGGAAAUUAAUUUAAAUAACGUGCUUAAAGCAACUACGCACUUUCAAGUUUGCGAGGGCCAUGAAAAAUUCAACUAAUGGCACAACUCGAUUUCUAAAGAGUUAAAAUUAAUCAAGUGAGGGCCAUGGGUUAUCUAUUUUUUUAUGGCACACCUCGAGUCUAUUUGUCAAAGAAAUCUUGAUCUAGUUCUAAUAGGGCCAUAAAUUAUGGAUAGGAAACUAUUGUGGAAAAAUGGUAUGAUCUUGUUGUUAGGUUAAUGGGCUAAUAAAUAUUUAAAAGAAACUACAACUCAAAUGCACUUUCUUUGCAUCCGAUUAAUUCCAACCAUUACGCAUCCCACUGGUUAACAAAUAUCAAUUUGAACUCAUGAAUUAAUCACGCAAAAUGAGUAAAUGGGACAACCAGUGAUUAAGAUACCAGUUCCAAAGAGUAUGCAAAGAAUAGCUAGAAACAAAAGAAACUCUAUACAAAACCAAAUUGUUAUGCGUCUGGUUCAACAAAGAAGUCAAACAUUUUUGCAAACUUAAGGAAUUAACAUUAUUAAAUUAUUUCUCCAAAUGUAGUGCACCCACUACUUAUUAGCUCAAACUAUUUUACUUGUAAUCCCAAUACUUGUUCCAUCCUAUUCAAUCAAUGGGAUUCAACAGUAAAAAUCAUAAUACUUCACAAAUCUGUAUAACAUCAAAUAGUCAAGCCAAUGAACACAUAGCUAAAAAUUGCACAAAGCUCCAACAUUGCACAAGAUCACCGAUAAUGAACUCGUAACUAUUUUAACCCAAGCAAAGGCAUUCUUGGUUAAGAGUAAAGAACAAAUACCAAGCUUAAUAGAUAUUACAAUCAAAUGCUACCAAAAUAAAAUCCAGAGAUUGAACGAUGAACAAGGAGUUUAGUACCGAACCUUUUCAGAAGCCAAACUUCUUCAAGCAAAUUUUAUUAGCAAGCAUUUCAGUGAAACUACAACAGCUGAGAUCAAAGCCUAAUGGACUCCAAUAGAGAAAAUCCCACCAAAAAUCGAAUGAAAACGCAUCGGCGCCAGAACCUCGAACGUUUUAUGUGUGAGCUGGUGCUUUUUGCGGCAGGUUUUAUGGAUGUAUUUCGCUGAAUUUUGAUUGCUUUUUUGGCCAGAUUUUACUCUAGUAUUUAGCUAACGUUUAUGAGGGUUGAAGAGUUAUGGAAAAAAUUAGUUUUCGAGGUGAAGAAAUAGUGUAUUUCAGCUACAUUUUUCCAGUGAUUUUGGAUCUAUUUUUGACUGAUUUCAAGGUAUUAUGUUGCUGGUUUUUGAAGCAUUAUUGGGGUGUGUUUAAUAGGGAUUUUGAGGGGAUUUCAUAGCUAUUUGCCGCUAGUUUUAAGGCUGUUGCGUGGCUGAUUUACAUGGUAUUUUUCAGUUGUGUUUAUGGAGGUUUGAAAGCUGGUUUCGGCUAUUGAAGAAGAAGAUGAAGGCUGUUGGUUCCAGAUUGGAAAAUCAGAGAGAGGAAGGGGCCGUUGAGUUGCAGAUCUCUUUUUCAAUCCUCGUUCCUCCUCCUCUUUUUCUGCUAGAAGAAGAUGUCCAGCUGUU